RNAcentral lists this ribosomal RNA (1122 nucleotides) under uncultured organism. RNAcentral describes it as "bacterial SSU rRNA". It matches the Rfam family "Bacterial small subunit ribosomal RNA", at positions 316 to 1427 of the family's 1533-position model. The record is from RNAcentral.
GGACUGAGACACGGCCCAGACUCCUACGGGAGGCAGCAGCUAAGAAUCUUCCGCAAUAGUCGAUAGACUGACGGAGCGACGCCGCGUGAGUGAUGAAGGCCUUUUAGGUUGUAAAACUCUUUUAUAUUGGACGAAUAUAUAGUAUUAGACUAAUAUUGACCGUAACUUUAUGAAGAAGGUCCGGCAAACUGACGGCCCAGCAUCCCUCGGUAAUACGUAGGGACCGAGCGUUGUUCGGAAUUAUUGGGCGUAAAGGGUAUGUAGGCGGUCUAUUCAGUUAGAUGUGAAAAAUCUGGGCUCAACCGAGAUCUUGCGUCUAAUACUGAUAGGCUAGAGUCUCUGAGAGGAAAGGCGGAAUUCCUGGUGUAGGGGUAAAAUCUAUAGAUAUCAGGGAGAACACCCGGUUGCGAAGGCGGCCUUCUUGGCAGAGGACUGACGCUGAGGUACGAAAGUUAGGGUAGCAAACAGGAUUAGAGACCCUGGUAGUCCUAACCGUAAACGUUUGUAUACUAGGUGGUUUGAAGUAUUGAUCCUUUGACUGCCGCAGCAAACGCAUUAAGUAUACCGCCUGGGGAGUAUGCCGGCAACGGUGAAACUCAAAGGAAUUGACGGGGGCCCCGCACAAGCAGUGGAGCAUGUUGCUUAAUUCGAUGAUACGCGAGUAACCUUACCAGGUCUUGACAUAUACCUGUCUGGUGUAGAAAUACAUCAUUGCUUCGGCACGGGUAUACAGGUGCUGCAUGGUUGUCGUCAGCUCGUGCCGUGAGGUGUUGGGUUAAGUCCCGCAACGAGCGCAACCCUUAUUCUUUGUUGCUAACAGGUUAAGCUGAGCACUCUAAGGAGACUGCCGGUGACAAACCGGAGGAAGGUGGGGACGACGUCAAAUCAUCACGGCCCUUAUGACCUGGGCUGCAAACGUGCUACAAUGGGUGGUACAAAGAGUUGCGAGACCGCGAGGUGGAGCUAAUCUCAAAAAACUAUCCUCAGUUCGGAUUGGAGUCUGAAACCCGACUCUAUGAAGUUGGAAUUGCUAGUAAUCGCACAUCAUCAUGGUCCGGCGAAUACGUUCCCGGGGCUUGUACACACCGCCCGUCACAUCACCCGAGUUGAUAUACCCGAAGU